Molecule: long non-coding RNA, 1674 nt
Filed under: Ceratitis capitata (Mediterranean fruit fly)
Lineage: Eukaryota; Metazoa; Arthropoda; Insecta; Diptera; Tephritidae
Description: uncharacterized LOC111591647
Source: RNAcentral
CUGUCCUUAUGCUUUGAUUUUUGAAUGUCCAGAGAAUCGGUUGUUAUCGAUUACUAACUGCAAACCUGCAAAACUCAAUAUCGAGCGGCUUUUUAGAAAGCACGUGGAAUUGUAAUGAGCAGAAAACAACAAUUUUCAGGUCAGUCUCUGCAACUUCAAAUUAUUCUAGCUGCAGUCAAUGGUUUUAAUAGAUUUACUGCGCUACUUUUGCUCCCUAUCUUCUCUUCUAUUUUUAUUUCAAUUUUAGCUGCUACUCCACAUUAAUCAUCAAAUCUUCAACUUUCAUCAGCCUGCGCAGCUAACUGCCAAAUCUGAUGGACUACUUAAUAAGAAGCGGAAAUCGAAAAAGAAAACAGUGGUUAGCGGACAGUGGGCAGUGGAGAGAUGAAAAGGGACCGCGAAAAAAAAAAGAAAAAAAAGUAGAUCGUGAAAUUUAAUAAACCUUCUAUUCUUAUUGUAGUUGUCAUCAACGCGUUAACAACAAGCAAAUCAAACUAUAUAAUUGGCGCAAAUGUGUAAGAACGCUAGGCGAAUCGCAGUGAAUUUUGCUGCGUGUUUUCGUAUGCCGAUGUUAUAGAAAUUGGCAGCGGUGAGCAGUGGACGUACAAAGAAUGUUUACAAUGGAAAUGCCAAUAGGAGAAAAUAGAAAACCGCAACAACAACAUCAAUACCCAGCACCAAUGAGCGUGAUGACAUAAAAACUAAGCAAGAGAAUAAUUGUAGCACCAACAAGAGCGGUAGAAGUGGUAGAAAAUUGUUAGAAUAAAAGAAUUAAAAAGAAAAAAUUCUGCGUUGAAAAUAUUAACAGUAAAUCGCGGAAGUUUUACCUGGGAAAUAAAAAAUAUUACGCGCUGUUUUAAAUGCCGUUAAUUGACGUAAAAAUGAUAUUUUAAUGAGAGAAAAUGGAUGGAUGUGUUUUUAAACUAAUUAUUGGUUGAAGAAAUGGAAACCGUUCUUAAUAGCUUUGCACAUGACUGAAACCGUUGUUAGAAGUUGUGAGCAAAUGACUCUGGAAACACCUGUUAACAUGAAAGAGAUAAGAGAGACCGAACAUGCGGCUACGGUAGUGACACUUUUCGCUAAGCUAGACAGGUGCCACAGUUACCAGCAGUGCCCAAGUGGCGAGGAAACUCAAUAGAAACAAACGAUAAGGUGGUUCAAGCUCAAGGAUCGCUAAAGAAAGGCAACAAGCUUCGAGAAUCUUCAAGCGAUUUCGCUCCUCCCAAAUUUGCACACCUAAGCAAUACUUACUUGACCCCCUCAAAAUCAACUGGCUCGCUAUUAAAAAUAAACAGAAAGUUUAAUGAAAAUUUGUAAUCACGUGUAUGUGAUUAUUUAACCGUUAUUUAUCGCACCUGUGCCGCCUUUCACUUCUCACUCAGCUACUACGUACACACCGCAUAAAGAUAAAUACUACACUCUCCAGCCAGCAGAUCCUUCACCUCCUCUAUCCAACUCAAGCAAUCUUCUUCCAAUUUUCUUAAUCACUAUCUUCACAGUAUUUAUUUAAGUAAAAAAUAAUUAGAAAAAUUUAAUAUCAAAUAGCGCCUUGGCCUUUCACUUCUCAUGCGCGCGGUAGAUAAUCGAAUAUCGGAACAAGAAGUGCAACAGAAACGUUUGAAGAGAAGAAGGCGAAGAAAAAAAUACACAAAAAAAAAAAAAAAAAAAAAAAAA